CCCUAGGAAACGGCUUCAGCUUGCUUGGCAUUGCGUAAAGAAGAAUGGCUAAUUAAUAGCGCGAGAGAGAGAGAGAGAGAGAGAGAGAGUGAGUAGGAAGAGGAGAUGGUGACGGACACUCUGAUACAAGUCCUGUUUCUCUUGCUGAGUCUGGGGAUGUUCCUAGUGAUACACAACGUCCCCAGGAAAGCUCUAACAAAGCUGCGACUAAGGGGCCGAGAGAACGUCCAAGCGAAGCGCCACUUCGUCCAAGGGGCUCAGCUGCUGGCCCGUGCUCGAUCCUCCCGCAACAAAAAUACCUGCGUCUCCCUCGCCAAGGACGCCAUCGACCAGGCCGACAAGGCUCUCCUGCUAGACCCAAGAGACGCCGCCGCUCACAUCCUCAAAGCCCUAUCGCUGGACCUCCAGGGCCACAAGUCUUCCGCCCUUAGGUCCCUCGACGUCGCUCUCUCCCCGCCCGCCGUCAAGACCAUCUCCGAUCGUGAGCGGGGAGACGCCCUCUUCAAACGUGCGGAGUUGCAGAUAGCCGUCAACCGCCGCCGCCGCCGGGUUGACUCGGCUCUAUCGGACCUGUUGGAAUCCGUGAAGCUUAACCCUGGCAAUUCCAAGGCGUUCUGUCUCUUGGGGCAGUGCUACGAGAAGAAGGAGAUGAGACUUGAGGCCAAGCAGGCGUACGAGGAGGCCAUUAGGAUCCAGCCCAGUUCUUCCGCAGCCCGCGAGGGUUUGGACCGUUCAGCAUCGAAUUAUAACGGGGCAGACACCAAGCAGUAACCAGAGGUCAGAACCUCGAAAUUUAUAAAAAGAAAAGGUUUUGGACUUUGGACAAUUUCUGGGUUCCUUUCGAUUACACAUACUAUACAUCUAACCCUCCCGUUCGCCUUUCUCUAAAGCCUUUCCAGGCCUAAAUCUACCUGCGUAUGGUGUUCAUUCUUACACUCGCCGGUCUCCUGCCGGCGUUUAUGUUCAGUUUCUGGCUACUGACGGGUGGGGAAGCUGUGAGGGUCUGAUCGCUCUUAUUGUAUCUUUGAGGGGCUCAAUCUUGCCAUACCUCAGUUCUAUUUUGAUUUACUUGAACGAUAGAACUGAAAAUGGUUGCAAUUGGGGAUCGUGGCGGCAGUAGGAACAGGGUUUUCGAUGGUGGACCGGUCUCCUCCAAUUCUGAUUCAUAACACCUAAUAACCCUAGUAAUCGGCCAUUUAACCUGAAAACCCAGACCUUUGAAACCGUGAGUGGGAAUAAUCUUUCUUCUUUGAAUAUAUGUUGAUGGUCGCACAUGUCGGGCUCUCAAUCUUAAUCCAACUAUUGAAGGACUGGUUUUAAUAACUGGACUUGUAAUGAAGGAUUGGUUUUAAUACAAGACUAGAAAUCCUGUUUUCAUGGUA
Molecule: RNA transcript, 1382 nt
Organism: Macadamia integrifolia
Lineage: Eukaryota; Viridiplantae; Streptophyta; Magnoliopsida; Proteales; Proteaceae
Exons: 2
Source: RefSeq, a predicted model, not a curated record